UACGUAGGGUGCAGGCGUUAAUCGGAAUUACUGGGCGUAAAGGGCGCGUAGGCGGCUUGGUCAGUCCCGUGUGAAAUCCCUCGGCUCAACUGAGGAACUGCACGGGAAACUGCCUGGCUUGAGUUCGGGAGAGGGAAGCGGAAUUCCGGGUGUAGCGGUGAAAUGCGUAGAUAUCCGGAGGAACACCGGUGGCGAAGGCGGCUUCCUGGACCGACACUGACGCUGAGGCGCGAAAGCUAGGGGAGCAAACGGG
This 253-nucleotide ribosomal RNA is filed under the name uncultured bacterium. RNAcentral describes it as "partial 16S ribosomal RNA". It matches the Rfam family "Bacterial small subunit ribosomal RNA", at positions 524 to 776 of the family's 1533-position model. The record is from RNAcentral.